Molecule: transfer RNA, 72 nt
Filed under: Candidatus Tremblayella princeps
Lineage: Bacteria; Pseudomonadati; Pseudomonadota; Betaproteobacteria
Description: Candidatus Tremblaya princeps tRNA-Phe(GAA)
Rfam family: tRNA
About the family: Transfer RNA (tRNA) molecules are approximately 80 nucleotides in length. Their secondary structure includes four short double-helical elements and three loops (D, anti-codon, and T loops). Further hydrogen bonds mediate the characteristic L-shaped molecular structure. tRNAs have two regions of fundamental functional importance: the anti-codon, which is responsible for specific mRNA codon recognition, and the 3' end, to which the tRNAs corresponding amino acid is attached (by aminoacyl-tRNA synthetases). tRNAs cope with the degeneracy of the genetic code in two manners: having more than one tRNA (with a specific anti-codon) for a particular amino acid; and 'wobble' base-pairing, i.e. permitting non-standard base-pairing at the 3rd anti-codon position.
Source: RNAcentral
GACUGGGUAGCUCAGCGGUAAGAGCAGCGGACUGAAAAUAAGCCGGGCGGUGGUGAGCUUCCAUCCCCAGCA